CACCACUCUCCACCACCUAAGAAGCCAUACAAGUACUCUUCCCCUCCACCUCCAGUCCCUACCCACCCUCUCCCACACCCACAUCCUCACCCACUACCCCACCCACACCCCCUACCACACCCACACCCUCUACCUCAUCCUCACCCAGUGUACCACUCUCCACCACCACCUAAGAAGUCUUACAAGUAUGCUUCACCACCACCUCCAGUUCAUCCUUACCCUCACCCACAUCCUAUCCCACACCCUGUUCCCCACCCUUAUCCUCACCCAGUGUACCACUCCCCACCACCACCAGUCCACCCAGCUCCCUACAUUCCUCACCCAGUGUACCACCACCACUCUCCUCCACCAACUCCACAGAAGAAGCCUGGUUACAAGUACCCAUCUCCUCCACCUCCUUCCCAUUCCUACAUCUAUGCUUCACCUCCCCCUCCUUACCACCAUUAGAUAGCAUAGCUAGUACUACUCUCUAUGGUAAACCUCCUUCAUAAAAUCUACAUUGUAAUACGUAUGUUUUAAUUGCAACAUGCUUGAUUCAAACUAUAAGGUUUACCACCCUAAUAAAGAUCAUGUUAAUGUUGCAUUUAAGUUUCAUGCUAUAUCAUUUGUGUACUUUAUAUAUUGUUUGAAACCGAGUUAUGUUAUGACAUGGUCUAAAGUCUAAACUGAUUACUAAUAUUUGCAUGUGUUUAUUAUCAUUAUCAGUGUACGUAUGAUAUGAAGAUGUUGUACGAAUGAAGAAAGCGAUGGAAAGAAGAAGCGCUUCACAGUUACACAAAAUAAAGAAGAGAUUAAGAAUAAAUGUUGGUGUUAAUUGUGUAUUAAUAUGAUUUGGUUUCAAUCAUUUUAAAUGCUUUUGGGUUUUGUGGUAUGUUGUAUUUUGAUAGCUGUAAAGCAACGUUGUGCUAAGGUGUCGAAGUAGUUAGUAAUGCUAGCUUCUGUUGUGUCAGUCUAAAAUAGUACGUGUACGUGCACGCGUUGUAGUUUUCAAGCUACUGUGUUUUGCAGGGCUUGUAAGACCAUCAAUUGCUAUAUAUUAAUAAAAUAAAUAUUUUCUCUUUCAAACUGUCGGAAUUUUGUCUAUAUUAUGGACACUAUGAACAACAAAUGGAGAUACAAAUGAUUGUUUUUACACAUAAAUGUAAUUAUAUGAUAAACAUAGGAUAUAAAUGUUAUUACACAUUACUUUUUGUGUGUUAUUAUAUGAUACUUAGUUCUCAGAUAGAUCCUUACUAGGUCACGAGAGUGGAACUGAGAGCGCUAGAAUCGAAACUUUUUCUGGUGAUUGAAAUAUUUGUCACUGCUACGACGUGGCAUAGGAUACCAAUCUAAUUAAUUUGUCACAAUUUAUAUAAAUAAAAAUGUCAUUUAUAGUUUUUCAAUAAAAAAUUAACGCGUGCACAUAAUUACAAGCAUGCUAUACUUAAAAACAUAAUUAACAUCCAUAUAUAUUCAACACCUUAUUAUAUAUUAGAUGAAAUCUUGUAGGUAGAGUUGAUAUUUUGAGUAAUUUUGCACGUCCCAUUCAUCAUUACAUAAAUUAUCUUGUUUCGGAAAAUAAUGUCCUUAUAGCUGGACUCAUGCGAAAGACAAUCACACUUGCAAAUCUUCUUUGAGUUUGACAUUUGAUUUUCGGUGCAUUUGCUUUAACUUUUAAAAAUAAGGCAUAUUUUAUACUUUUCAAUUUUAGGCCUUUAUAAUUUUUUUUGUCUAAUACGAAAAAGGAAAUACGUUUAGUGUCCAAAUUUUUGUGUCUAAAUAAACUGUUUGUCCUCAACAUCACCACGCCACACCUUAAUUUUAUGGAUAAAUCUUGAAGAACUAAAAUUUAGUAACCAUCUGAGUAUUAAACAUUUAAUUAAGAAUAAAUUACACUAACACUUCGAGUUUUAGUGAAAUUAUACAAGUUACCUUUUUUUUUUUUAUAUUUACACAAACUUAUAAUAAAUAGGAAUCUCUUGAUCCGUGUAUGGUUCUUGAGGAGGAAGAGAGAAAGUAGAUGAAAUCGUUGUGAUGUGAAAACUAGAUCAGAUCCAACUUAGUAUCAGGGUUAGUUUUUGUUUUUUUCUUAUGUAAUUCAGUCAAGGCAAUUGAUAAAUAAUAAAACAUGUGACUUCCAGCUCAAUAAUUUACGGAAAGAUAAAAAAUAACUGAUCAAAGGAAAUGUUAGCUUUAUUAACUGAUUGGACAGAUUCAAUUAAUCUCAAUCAGUUUUUUUCUUCCAUUCUCACUCAUCACUUUAGCUAAUAAUAAUAGUCAGUAAUUAUAUUUCUCAACUUUUUUCUUCCACACUUCAUCUUUUUUAUUUCUUCCUUUAUAUCAUAUCAUCAAAUCACUGCAAUAAUACUAGGCAAUGACAUAUUUUGCAAUAAGAUAUGAAACUCACUAGUACAUUUUUUUAAUACUAGAUAAAUACUAUAUAAAGAUUGAUGUAAAAGGCAUUUUUUUUCUUCAUGUGAUGUGUGUUAUUUGUCGUAACCAAUGUCUUAACAUUAUUCUUGUAACAAUAAUGCAAUUUUAUAUUAAUAGUAGUAAUCUUUUACAACUUGGGAGAAAAGCAAAUUACAGUAGCUAUAUAGGGGAGGAGAAUAUCAACUUUGUAUUGAAAGAAAAAUAAUGUUUGGAAAAUAGGAACAAAGUAUAGUGGGAGAUGGGGCCUUCUUAAUCUAAGAGCAACUUAGAGGAAAGAAUAUGAAAAGAAAAAGACAAUCCAUAAAAAGCUUAAAUUACGGGCAACUUUAAGCUUGGGAGUUUCUAACAUCAUUUCAUAUAAGUAGUUAUCAUUGACAUUGUCGAUGACAAAGUUUUUUAGGAGCUCCACCAAUUUGGUUUUUUUUGGAGCUCCACAAAAUUCUAUAUUUGAAUUUUAUGAAGUUAUUUAUUUGGAUUAUGUGUUUCUUUGCUAGUAUAACGAUUAUAUUUGGUUUCAAAAUAAUUAAAUAAGUUUGAAACUUCUAACAUAUCUAAAAACCCAUAUUUUCCUCAUAAAAACUAUACUUUCAAAAUUUCAUAACAUGUCAUAUCAAAAGGCUCAAAACUCUUAAAAAAAAUAGCAAACAUUUUCGAGAGUCUUAAUACUAGUUGUGAAAACUUUGAAAGAACUAAUUUUACCGAGGGUUAAUCACUAAAUGUUUAAUAAUUCGAUUUUUGUACGGGACAUUGUUCAGAAAGAUAAUCAUACACCUUGAAUAAAAUUAAUUUUUUAUAUAAGAUAUUUUUAGUAAUAUAAAAAAAUUAAGUUACUUUGAUUUUAGUACUUAUACUUCACUAAUUUUUUCUAAAAACUAACGAUACUGAUCAACUACAAAGUGUUUAGAAAAUACAAGGAUUGACACACACAAAACUAAGAACUAAAAAUGAAAAUUUAGUACAUUUUGUAAAGACGAAAAAACACAUUUUUUAAGACUGAAAUAAAAAAUGAAAACAAAGUUAAUGAAAUGAACACAAGCUGGCAAAUGAAAUGAAAAUUCGAUUUGUUGAAAUGAAAAUUAAAAUGAAGAAUGUGCAUGUGGACAGGUUUUACACAAGUAUUCAUGACAUGAAUCAAUCACCUUAUUCAUUUUUUCUAGUUUAAUCAUUGCAAUAGGCUCCAUCUAGUACAAUGAAUAUGGACAUGUUUUUUUUUUGAGUCAUUAUCAAACUUUGUCGACAACACAUGGAAAAAUACUGUUUUUUUUACAUAAAAAAUAUAGAUCAUUUUUUUUUGUUUAUUUUGGUUAUAUGUUUUUUUAUAAAUUAAGCUUCUUAUAGUUACAAACUUUGUUUACAAACAAAAAUAUAAACAGAGAAAAAAAGUCACCACUUAAAAUAUUAAGUUUUCAAAUGAACUUUUUCUCAUUUUAAUAUUUUUAGUUAGUAUUUGUGGUAAGAAAACUGUUAUAACAUUUUUAAGUUUUAUCCUACAUGAUUGAGGAAAAUUGUUCAGUCAUUUGAACUACAAAAGAGCAAGUUAAUUCCCUUAUUAGUAUAGGAUAUUUGAACCAAAACCUUAUAUUAUAACAAUAAGAUAUUUAUGAUUUCUUAUUAAAAAAAUGAGGCAGAGCUUUAUGAGAUAACAGGCUGACAUAAAUACAAGAUUUGUAUAGGAUACUAAUGGGCUUUUGAAACUGGCCCAGAUUUGGAUAUUAAUGGGCUUUUGAAAUGCAUAGAAUUUUAAAUUACAUUUCAUUCCAACAGUUUAAACUUACAUACUCAAGUUAAGAUUCAAGAUAAUAAUCUCAUAUAUCAAUUGUUAUUUUAGGAUCAAAUACAUUAUUUUUUAAGUAUCAUUGCAUCUAAUGUGAAACCCAAUUGGUUUGCUUUCAAGUUAUGUGGACACUAUUUCUUCAAUGAACAUGCAUACUCUAUAUGUAUACAUGUAACAAAGUUUCAAAAUUCUCAAAUUUAUAAUCAAUAUUUGAGGACUGUGAUAAGUAAAGAUAUUUGUUAUGAGUAGACAAAUAUAAUUUUUUUCAUUAAUGAAUAUACAUGUUUCUUUACUCUUGGACAAACUAGCUAAUAUAUAGGGGACGAAACUUUUGAAAAAUAGGCAUGCAAAAUAAGGAACAUGAAAUGAUAGUUUUAUAUGAGCGAACGAAUUUUAUUACUUAAGUUACAUUUAGUACAUACUUGACAAACAUGGAGAACAAUCUUCAACGUGGAUCUUGCUAAAUGAGUUUAAUAUGUCCUUUAGAAUCAACCUUGAAACUAGCUAUUCAUAUAAUUGUUAUGCUUGUUAUCUAUCUAUCUAUUUAUAUAUAUGAUUAUAUUAUUCGAACAAAUUGUCAAGAACAUUCUGUAUACUUUAUAUACUUUGAUAAAAAUACAUUUUUUUAUGAAAAAAGUAAAUGUAUUAAACAUAAAAAACAAAAUAAAAUUCACUUCAAGUCACAAAGAACUGUUAGGAAGGCAAGAGUGCUUCAAAUAAUGUCCUAAAAAGACUCCAUUGGAAAUAUAAACAACAAUUAGGAAGUCACCUCCUAAGGGUGCUUAGCAUCCGAAUCAUCUCCAUUAAUGGAGAGACAAGUACUUGUUUUUCCAAGUAUUUUUAAUGGCAAAUAUGAUAAUUUAUUAUAUAUAAAAGAAUAAAAAUGUCUACCAUGUUGUUUUUCCCUUUGUUUUUGUAGUACUUGUCUCUCAAUUAAUAGAGAAUCCUUACUUUCAUAUUGGAUAUGAGUUUGUGGCACUCUCACUAAACCCCAUGCAAAACUACUACAUGAUAUCUACUUAUGGACUAGGAAGUGGAAUGAUAUUAUUUCCCCAACCGAUAUUUAUACUAAACAUCUAAAAUAUUUUCAUCAAAUGUAACCAUUGGUGCAGAUAAAGGUUACUAGAAAAUGACCGAAAUAAGUUUCACUCACACCAACAAAUAUUCUAAAAGAUAAUUAGAAAUAUAGCGAAAGGUAGCUUUUACUGCUACAUCUUAAUGUUAAACUGGUUCCACGCUACAAUUAUAAAACAUAUUAUAUAAAGUUCAUAACAACAGCUUAAAAUUUAAGCCUAAAACUACGAAACACAAAUAACAACAAAUGACAAUUGUUGAACAAUGUUCUUCACAAGCCUCACCUUAAUAUAAAUACGCGUUUAAAGAAGAUGUUACUUGUGAUAAUCAUCCCCAACAAUUGAUCAUUUUGAUAAUAUGAAAACUAAUUGAGUUGAUUGAAGUAAUAGAAGCUUGGACCACAUUGCUCAUUGAAAGCUUGACCAAAGGAAUUAGAAGGAGGAAGAGGAGGCAUUGAAAUUUGUUGUUGCAGAUGAGUCCCUUGAUGUUGAUAUGAAGGAUUAGGGCAUUGGCGAAGCAAGGCUAACAUGGAAGAAAAUUUAGAUACCAACUCAGUAGAAGAAGGAUCAUUAACCAUAUCAACAGCAUACUCAUUAUUUUUCAUCAUAUAAUACUCCAGUUCCUUCCUCAUUGCUUCUCUGAGGGCUACAAGAACAAAAGUGGGUCAACUUUAUAUUCACAUACUAAAUUUAGAAAGCAACAAAACCAUAAUAUGUAAGUAAAUUUCAAGUCACAAGUACAGUUUUCACAUUAUGUUGAAGGUACUUGCAAUCAAUAUGCUUGAUCCCCCAUUUUUUUCUGGAUGGUUUUAGUAAGUGAUAGUUUGAUAAUAACAUAGACAUUUUUAAGUAUAAUAAUGACAGUAUUUAUUUAUUGAGGUAAAUGUCAUGUAUGUGAGAGUGAAAGCACAAAUACCCAUUAUUUUAAACAUUAAAAAAAAGCAUAGAACCAUGCAUGCAUACCACAUUUUUGUUGUAGUUGUUGUCCCAAAGCCUCAAUUUGCAUUUUGAACUGGUUAUUCAGAGCAAUCCUGGUUGCAAUGUUUCUCUGCAUUAUAUAAAAGUUGUUGCAGAUUUAAUAAAAGGUCAUUAAAAUUAAUGGGUUGAUACUACAGUAAAACAAAUCUGCACCAUCAUUGUUAGUGUAGUGAGACUCUAACAAAUUAAUCAAAACUUGGUCCUUAUUAAAGUUACCGCAUUUAUGUUAAUGUAAAACAUAUUGCAAAAGAAAAUCACAUACUUUGCAUAUGGCAAGUUGUUCAUCGACCAUAUCUGAGAGAGCUUGAAGCUUUUUCACCCUCCCCUCCAACUCUUUUGCAUAAGUUUUUUUCCUCUCCUUUGAUUUAGUGGCAGAUAUCCUAUUAGCAAGAAUCCUACAACACAUAACAACUCAACUAUUCUUAGUGCAACAAUCUUGUACCCUGAAAUAAACAAAUUUAAUUAAAAAUUAUAAUAAAAAAAUCAUGAUGAAGCAUCAUGAGCACAUUUAACUUUGUUGCUGAAAUUACUUAUGCAGGAAAAUACUCAACAAUUCAAAGUAAAGGUUAUGUUAUCUCAAAAUUUAACAUAUAUAACAAAGAUAAAAAAGCAAUGAUUAUAAGAAAAUGCUGAACCUUUUUGCUUUCUUAGGGUCAACUUUUGCUAGUUCAAGUAGCUCCUCAGGAGACACAACCCUUUUUACAACGAAAGAAGAUGCACCCAUUUGAGGAGAAUAGCUUUUCCAAUUGCAUUGAUCCUCCUUACUCUCUCCCUUCCCACCACAACUACUCUUCAAAUCAGAGUCCACAGAUAAUUUCUUACUCAAUUCCUCCACAGUCAAUGAAUCCUUACUAGCCAUUACAACAACAUCGUGAAAUCCAAAGGCUGCCACGGGUGGCGGUGAUAGUGGCAGUGAAGGGAGGUUGAAUUCCUGAAGGUCAUUGUUGUUGUUAAGGGUAACAUGUGAGAGGACCCUUUCAUCGUUAGACCCAUCUUGCUGCAUACUUGGUGCUACACCUUCCUUCUUGUUUGCUUCCAUUACAAAGAAAUUUCUGCAGGUUUUGGUGAAUUUGAUACUCAAAAGUUGAGUUACCAGUAUUUAUAUUGUUUACUUGUAUUUUACCUGGCCAGUGAGUGAGGAGAAGUUGCAUAUAACUCACAUUUGCUAAUGAAGAUAUGCCCUACUUUUGGUGUAUGUCUCGGAUCAAUCAAAAUGUAUUAUUUAAUAUAAAGUAAUAUUUGAUAGAGAAUAAUGUAUCUCCUCGUAUAAUGAGAUAACUUAUAUCCUCUAGCCAGUAAAAAUCUGACAUGUGUGCUAUUUUGUUUAUUUUUAAAAAUAUUUUUAUAGAAAAUGAUAAAACAUGACACAUGUCAUAAUUUUAUUGGCAGAAGGAGAUGAUUUAUCUCCUUAUAUAAGGAGAUAUUCCAUUUCCCUAUUUUAUAUUAUUUAGUAUAAUUAUAUUGUAUGAAAAUAUGAAGAAAGGGCCUCUCUGGAAUUAAAGAUCUUGUUCUAUAUUUACACCUCAUUUUCUUGUAAUGAACACCGCACGUGUGUUUAACUCUCUAAUGGAGAGAUAUCUCAUUCGGACUACAGUACUUAGAUCCUUUCUAAUAAUUAAGAGACAAUGAUAUGAAAAAUAAUAUUAAAAAAUAGAAGAAUAUAAUACUUUUAUCAUUUUAAAUAUAUUGAUGUAAUAAUUUUACUCUUAAAUACAAGUGUAAAGACAAUAACUUAUCUUUAUAAUAAUAAAGAAGAUCCUAAUUUCACAUAGAGAUAUAUCUUUAUCGAAACAACAAAUAAAAUAUUAACAAAACAUUAAAAUUUUAUUUUAAUAAGAAUUUAGUCCACAAAUAUAAUAUGUUCCAUAAGUGAAAUGUUUUUCCUGUGAGGAAGAGUGUAAUGAUUUUUUCAACUGACACAUUUUUUAUACACAGGAUGUGUGCUCACAUUCUGCAGCAGUUACAUAUGAAAGUGUUGGAAAUGGUGUAUAUUUAAUGCAAUAAUUAAAUAAGUCAGUUUCUUUUUAUUUCGACUUAAUCUAAUCAUUAAUUAGGUCUUCUUUUUUCUUCCUUCAAUGCGGAGGGAGUGAUCACUGUUUAAAAAAUGUACAAUUAUUAUGAGAGCUAAAUUUCUCAUAACAAGUAUUUAACGGAUUAGUAUCAUUACAAAUUUGAACUCAGGAACUUAUAAGCUAAAAAACGCUCCAUCAAAAUGAUUUAGGCAGUUGUUGAUAGAAGUAAUUAUUAUUGACAAUCAUUAGUAACUUAUUUAAUCUUAAACGAAAAAUGUGUUAAUCUCUUGUAAAAAUAGCAUACAAAUUUUUCUAUUUAACCUAUUAAUAUCAUUAGAGAUUUGAACUCGGGAACUCAUAAGCUUAAAAAGGCUCCACCAAAAUGAUUCACGCAUUACUAAUUUACUAUUGACAAUGAUUAUUAACUUAUUUAAUCGUAAAUGAAAAAUGUGUCAAUUGUAAAAAUAACAUACAAAUUUUCCAAUUUACAUAUAAAAGUGAUAUGUGUUAUAUGGUGGUAUUUACUAAUUGAUUAUUGAUUUACCAAUACCAAAUAUCAUUUUGUGAUGAAGAGAAGAAUAAUUGGUAAGGUAAUAUAAUAUUACUUUUAAUAAAAUAAAGAAAAUUGAGACUACUAAAAACAAUUCUACCUGACUUUUUAUCUUAGAAUUAUUUGUGUUUCCAAAUUUGAGAUCUUCAUCCAUAUUUAAAAUUAAUAUUUUUUUGGAUAUGGUGAAACUAACCGUUAUCCACUUUUUAUUUCUAUUUAAUGUAUAAAUUAAAUAAUUUUUAUUAAUUAUGCAUUAUUACCGAUUGUUUCUUUUUUGUUGCAUACCUCUUAACUUUUUAAUUUUCACCUGAUUCCAAAUCUGUUGAAUGUUUAAAUUUUUUAUUUUUUAACUUAAUAUAUAUUUUAUUUUCAAAUAUACUUUAAUUUAUCACUUCUUCCUUUUUCCUUUAUUUAUUUUUAAUAUACAUUAAAUAUACUGUUAUUUUAGUCAAAUUAUAUUCAACUUUUACCUAACUUUUUCUGACUUCUUAAAUUGUGUAUAUAAUACAUCAUUUUUUUUAAUGAAUGGAAUAAUAAAUAGCCUUAAAUGAGAAAGAGAGGAAAAAAAAGAUGAGUCAUAAAGUAUUUGACAACAGAACAAUUUAACCAUGUUUGAUUAGGGAGUAUUUUUUUAUAUAUAAAAAGCUUAACUAAGUUUUUGAUAGAAUGUAUAUCCAAUGUUUGUUAUGAGAUUUAUUAGAAAAUGAAUAAGAUAGGAUAUUAUAGUUUAUUAUCUAAAUUUAAUUAACUAUUAAUAUUACAUGAAUAUUUCUAAAAUAUUCUUAUUGUAAGAUAAUAACACUUGUGUGAUCAUCAUCAUUAUAGGAUUUGUUUAUUAUUAUUUUUAAAUGUUUUGUUAAAUCAAUAAAUGAAAUAAUAUCUAUAGUGUAAUCGGUAGAGUGCAAACACUAUAUAACAGGAAACUGAAUCAGCUAUCCAAAAUUGUGAGCCACUCUAUCGAUUAUCCCUGAAAUCUCAUUCCUAUGUAGUUUAAGUGACAUUUGAACACCAAAUUAUAAAGUACUAUCGUUAUUGGCUUAUGAUGUUUGAAAGUAGCAUUAGCACAGUGCAAGAGGAUGAGUGAGAGAAAUGUUCUGCAAGAGGAUGAGUGAGAGAAAUGUUCUGCAAGAGGGUGUCAUUAUUCAGAACUUACAACAAUUUAAAUAACAGAUUUCAUGUUUAUUAAUAACCCCCGAUAGCUAUGACUCAUCCUAAUUGAUAUCACAAUGCUCUUCUUUGUACCUUGUGAAUGACAUAACAAAAUGGAACAGAAUGUUAAAAAAUACAUUAUUAAUCCACAUUAUAUAACCACUAUGCACAUAUUGGAGAAAAUUUUGAGAUUUGACCUCCCACUCAUAUGCCUCAAAUCUUUCUCAAAAACUUCACCUUUCCUUCUUCUGUAGGCAUUGAAGAACCAAUGGCUCCAAAUAAGUUUGUCAUACUAUGCUAGGAGGAUCCCCUGACCAGGUGCACACAGCACGAGCCCAGCGCGUCUUUAUACAGUCCACCAAAGGUGCAUGCUGAGAAGGCUCGGGUUUAGAUACUUCCGUGUCCUUCCCAGAAGACCCACUUGCACUGGAAGCAGAAGCAACGUUCACAUCUGCCAUAAAUUCCUCAUGUGUCCACCUUGGGGGAACUGAAACUCUCAACUUCGUCAGACGUGGUUUUUGCAAUGGAGUUUCACCACCAUAGUUUACCUGAAUGCCGUUUAGAUCGGAUUUAGCAAUCCCAUUAAAAUGAUAGAGAUCAAAGGCCUUCUUACCCAUCAAUCCUGAUGAAUCUUUCAGACCUCCCAAGCUUUUGUCUAGAUCCAAAAUUACUUGCCAGAAUUCACUCCAUACAAUGAACUCGGUAUUGGAAAGCUGCUCAGCCUUCUCCUGUGGAAGUUUGAUAUUUGUCGCUCUUAGGACUUGAUGGAACCCAUCCCCACUAAUGAAACCACCACCUCCGCUCUGAUCUUGUGCAUCAAAAGCUUUGCGGAUCUGUGUUUCUCUUACUUCUAGUUCGUUCUCAUUUUGAACGCUGAGGUCAAGAGCAAACAGCACUGUGUAAUGGGAUUCACUCCCAACGACCCAUAUAGGCCACUUUGGGGUUUUGAGAAACUGACCAACCUUGCAGAAAUUCAGGGAUUCUAGCAGAGUGAGAAAUCCAACUUCCACGUUUCGGGAUAUACCUUUCAGAAACAUUCCUCCACCUAAAUCCAUCCUCCCAUCAAACACGUUAGGGACAGCCUCCCCGCAGAGCAACAAGUUUACAAUUUCCUGUAUCACAACAAUCAUACAAAAAGGCAAUUUUAUACAUUAUAGAAUAAUAGAACGAGGAGCAGUUUAAAGGAUAGCAACAUUUUUCAAUCAUCUAUAAGUGAAUACCUGUGAGGCAUGCCCAAAAGGAGCAGUAACCAGAGGUAAGCUGGGAUCAUCCCUGUCACUUUGAACCAAGUCCUAGAGGAAAGCAAAACAUUGCAAGCAUUAAAUUGAGAAAUUUUAAAGGUAUAAAAACAACCAAUGCAAAUUCAGUUACAUAUUUGAGUUUAUGACAUCUAUUUUUGCCAUUGUAGUCCCCAAUUUUUAAAGAACACAGAAAGUGAUAGAUGCAUUCUAAAAUUCAAAGAGAUGGAACAUAGUUUAAGCUCAGAAGGCAUAAUCACUAGUAACAUAGUAACAUGCUCCAUUGUUAUACACAUAGUGGAACAACAACAUGCAUACAGCAUCAACUCAAAAUUUAAAGAACAAGGCCCUUGCUUUAAAAGACAAUGAACUCUAAAGCUGAAAAAUGCAAUGUGAAAUAGAUAACAAGGUUGAAGUAGACAGACAUACCAGUCCCCGAGAAAGUAAAGCAGAGAUUAGGAAAAGCAAUGCCCCCACACGACUUUGGAACAAAGCAAUAUUUGCUUCAAGCCUCUGCAGAGCAGUUGUUUGUGAUGUGUAAGUUUCAACUCUGAGAACUUUCUGCAGAUCCAAGGCUGAAUCAAUGGAAAGACCUUCAAGUGAUCUCACAACGCCCUGUUAGAUGGACAAAACUUGACUCAGAAGAAAAGGAUAUAUCAAAGGAGAACAGCAGUAGGAGAAAAAUAGGAAGAAAGUAAUUUCAAAAUAUAGGUAUUGUUGCGACCCAUACAAAAUUGAGUAUUCACAGGUACGAUAAUCAUGAUACCUCAUCUUCAGAAAUUCCUUCAAAAUGCUGAAUGCCAUUCCCUGAGACGCUCAUAGUUGCAAUCACAACCCUUCUAUUACUUCCACAUGAAAAUAAAAUUUCACCCAUGCUUCUUACAAGGGCCCUGCCAAAGAGAACACACAAAAUAUUAACAAAAAUAUAUCAUGAGCAUGGUUUAUUUACAACCACCAACUGCCACAUAUGAAGCACGUAGAAAAACAUUGGGUAGCGUCUAAAGGUUAUGGACAUGAAAUAUAAAAAAAUGGACAUCAACUAAUAUGCAAAUGAAGUCCACAAAACCUAAAAUAUUUCUAUUCAAUAAAAAUGAGAUGAGAAAGUGGAGGCUAUUUUUUAUGAACCCAUAAGAAACCCAAUAUCUUAAUUCUUGCUGAAUCCCUCAUUAUUUUUUAGAAAAAAAUAGUUAAACAAAAGGAAGCCAUGAAUUCUCAACCACUGCAAUGAAAGGAUGAGAAACAGAAGGAAAACAAAACUCAGUUGUAUGAUUGUACCAAGCCGUACUUGUAUUCUUCAUUGAAGAUGGCUACAAACCAAAGAUUAAUCAGCAUUGGAUGCAUGCUGUUGGAAAAAUACACCAACCUUUAGCCAUUCUGAUUCAAUGCUUCAUACUUUAAAUAAAGGGACACUUAUUAUUCACAAAUUACGGGAAAAAAUAUUUCUAGGUUAGGAACAGUUUCAGCAACUAAUUAAGUCAACAUAAGGUUAACCUAUUAAGCACUAUUUAAACCUUUUAUUAACCACUUAUCAGGUUAAAUUUUCCUAACUUCAAAAUAUGUGUUCGAAGAAUAGUUGUCACUUAGAAGACAAAAUUGUGUCACUUGGAGAGAAAUCAUAAAAGCAAACUCAUAUAUGGUUAACCUAAAAGCAAAUACUAACACAUUAUUAAAGGAAGACAAAUAUGUGUCACUUGGAGACAAAGCAUACCUUAUUGAAUCAAAUCACUAGUCAUGUUCAUGAUACGCAAGAAGACAAUGUAUUGGAGGAAUAAAAGGAAAGGAUGAAUUACAAAGCAAAAGAACUGGGGUUCUAAUAUUUUAUUAUAACAUAUUUUACCUAUCUAAACACAAAGGACUGAUCAGGAAACAGUUAAUCACCUUAGUUUAACAUCUUCACUGAGUGAGGCAAAAUCAAAUGAUAGAAUAGGUUGACUUCUAGAUGAUGAGCCUAGACCUCGAUGUGGCAUGAUUGACAUCUCUUUCAAAUCAUCACUAAAGAAAAGAAUGUAUUUGAGCACAAAUGCCUGAAACGUUAUGGGAAACACAAUCAAAAUCAACAUAAAAUGAAGAGAGAAAAAAAAGAACAUGCUUUUGGAACUUAUGUUGUCCAUCAGUAGAAAAAAUGAAAUGGACAUACUUCACUACAUGCAGACACAUGAACAGCCAUGCUACAAAAUGUAUAUAGUAUUUUCUUCAUUGAAUCAACAAAAUCAACAUUAUUAUAGUGACAAAGUUGAAAACAGUGAAUGUGCAUAAUAAGACAUCAUUAAUUUCA
This 13461-nucleotide long non-coding RNA is filed under the name Lupinus angustifolius (narrow-leaved blue lupine). RNAcentral describes it as "long non-coding RNA (LANG_LNC002847)". Lineage: Eukaryota; Viridiplantae; Streptophyta; Magnoliopsida; Fabales; Fabaceae. The record is from RNAcentral.